Molecule: ribosomal RNA, 431 nt
Filed under: uncultured bacterium
Lineage: Bacteria
Description: bacterial SSU rRNA
Rfam family: Bacterial small subunit ribosomal RNA
Source: RNAcentral
CAUGCAAGUCGAACGGUUCCGGAGUAGCAAUACUUCGGGAUAGUGGCAAACGGGCGAGUAACACGUGGGUCAUCUCCCCCCGAGUGAGGAAUAAGCUCUCGAAAGGGGGUCUAAUACCGCAUGACGCCUCAAGACAGAUUGUCUUGGGACCAAAGCCGUAAGGCGCUUGGGGAUGAGCCUGCGUCCUAUUAGCUAGUUGGUAGGGUAACGGCCUACCAAGGCGAUGAUGGGUAGCCGGCCUGAGAGGGUGUCCGGCCACACUGGGACUGAGACACGGUCCAGACUCCUACGGGAGGCAGCAGUGGGGAAUCUUGCGCAAUGGGGGAAACCUUGACGCAGCAACGCCGCGUGGGUGAUGAAGGCCUUCGGGUCGUAAAGCCCUGUCAGGCGGGAAGAAUUGUGUCGAUGCUAAUACCAUCGAUGCGUGACGG